AAAAAAAAUUAAUUUUAAGAAAUUGUGCCCCCCUUCAAGUGGCGCCCAGGGCAUGUGCCCUGCCUGCCCUACCCUAGAUAUACCCCUGGGAGAUAGAAAAAUACCCAAACCACCAACCAACCACUAGCACAGUUGUACGUCAGACAGAUAGGCAGCAAGUACAGUCUGUCUCUUUCCAUUCCAAUUCUCUGAAAAAACUCCACCCAUUCACAAGAAGCAACUCCAAAAGCUCACGGCACAUAGGCAACUAAGCAGGGGGAAAGUAUCUUUUUUUCCAGAGACUUGCAUCAGAGGAUAAAAUGGGGCACAAGCUGGGGCAAGUCCACUCUGCCUUUCCCUCUUCUUUCUUCUGUUUUUCCUCAGCAUCCAGCCCUCAGAGGGAUACCUGCAUUUGUUCACUGGGCUCCCCAGAGCUCACCUGUCUAUUGACAGACCUAUCUUCCAUUAAUUGGUGUAAUUCUUAACCAAAGCCAGUGGCACUCCCGAGACCUCAAAGGGAAUCCCACAACAUAAUGAUGCAUGGUGCAAAGCAGACUGUCCUGAAUCUAGUGCCACUGGCUCAGGUAUCACCUCCUCCAGCGGUGGAGUUCCAUUUCGACCACAGCCAAUGAGCGUGAGCAGAUUUGCAUGGUGGACCAUUCUUCAGUUCCUGGGCGAUGUAAGAAAGAAGAAGGAAGAUUCCAGACAGACCUACACUCUUGCCUCACCUUUCACCACCAUGCCCUGGUCUCUGUUUCUCCUCACGUUUCUCAGUUACGCCUCAGGUGUCCAUUCCCAGGCAAGUGUGACUCAGCCUGCCUCCCAGUCUGCGUCCCUGGGCCAAACAGCAAAACUCACCUGCACGAAAAGCAGUGGUGGUCGCUGAGGCAGCUUUUACUGGUAUCAACAGAGAUCUGGACAGGCCCCUCGCUUUGUGCACUGUAGUGGUUGCAGCAGAGGAGAAGGGAUCCCAGAUCGGUUCACUGGUUCUGCCUCUGGAGACAACGGCUAUUUAACCAU
Hemicordylus capensis (graceful crag lizard) is the source of this 999-nucleotide long non-coding RNA. RefSeq lists it as uncharacterized. NCBI's taxonomy places the organism in Eukaryota, Metazoa, Chordata, Lepidosauria, Squamata, Cordylidae. The transcript is spliced from 3 exons. The record is from RefSeq and is a predicted model, not a curated record.